UACGAAGGGGGCUAGCGUUGCUCGGAAUUACUGGGCGUAAAGCGCACGUAGGCGGACUUUUAAGUCGGGGGUGAAAUCCUGGAGCUCAACUCCAGAACUGCCUUCGAAACUGAAAGUCUUGAGUUCGGGAGAGGUGAGUGGAACUGCGAUUGUAGAGGUGAAAUUCGUAGAUAUUCGCAAGAACACCAGUGGCGAAGGCGUCUCACUGGCCCGAUACUGACGCUGAGGUGCGAAAGCGUGGGGAGCAAACAGG
This 253-nucleotide ribosomal RNA is filed under the name uncultured bacterium. RNAcentral's name for it is "partial 16S ribosomal RNA". It matches the Rfam family "Bacterial small subunit ribosomal RNA", at positions 524 to 776 of the family's 1533-position model. The record is from RNAcentral.